This 413-nucleotide ribosomal RNA is filed under the name uncultured eukaryote. RNAcentral's name for it is "SSU rRNA". It matches the Rfam family "Eukaryotic small subunit ribosomal RNA", at positions 592 to 1013 of the family's 1831-position model. The record is from RNAcentral.
CAAUAGCGUAUAUUAAAGUUGUUGCAGUUAAAAGCUCGUAGUUGGAUUUCGGAGUGGGCCAGUUGGUCCGCCGCAAGGUGUGUUACUGACUGGUUUGCUCUUCUUCGCAAAGACUGCGUGUGCUCUUGAGUGAGUGUGCGUAGAAUUUACGACGUUUACUUUGAAAAAUUAGAGUGUUCAAAGCAGGCUAUUGCUUGAAUACAUGAGCAUGGAAUAAUGGAAUAGGACUUUGGUCCCAUUUUGUUGGUUUCUAGGGCCGAAGUAAUGAUUAAGAGGGACAAUUGGGGGCAUCCGUAUUUCGUUGUCAGAGGUGAAAUUCUUGGAUUUACGAAAGACGAACAACUGCGAAAGCACUUGCCAAAGAUGUUUUCAUUGAUCAAGAACGAAAGUAUGGGGAUCGAAGAUGAUUAGAU